UACGUAGGGUGCAAGCGUUAAUCGGAAUACUGGGCGUAAAGCGUGCGCAGGCGGUUGUGCAAGACAGAUGUGAAAUCCCCGGGCUCAACCCUGGGAAUUGCAUUUGUGACUGCACGGCUAGAGUGUGUCAGAGGGGGUAGGAAUUCCACGUGUGAGCAGUGAAAUGCGUAGAGAUGAUGGAGGAAUACCGAUGGCGAAGGCAGCCCCCUGGGAUAACACUGACGCCUCAUGCACGAAGCGUGGGAGCAACAGGA
This 254-nucleotide ribosomal RNA is filed under the name uncultured bacterium. RNAcentral's name for it is "partial 16S ribosomal RNA". It matches the Rfam family "Bacterial small subunit ribosomal RNA", at positions 524 to 777 of the family's 1533-position model. The record is from RNAcentral.